AGUGAACGCUGGCGGUAGGCCUAACACAUGCAAGUCGAACGGCAGCACAGUAAGAGCUUGCUCUUACGGGUGGCGAGUGGCGGACGGGUGAGGAAUGCAUCGUAAUCUACUUUUUCGUGGGGGGUAACGUAGGUAAACCUACUCUAAUACCGCAUACGACCUACGGGUGAAAGCAGGGGAUCUUCGGACCUUGCGCGAUUGAAUGAGCCGAUGUCGGAUUAGCUAGUUGGCGGGGUAAAGGCCCACCAAGGCGACGAUCCGUAGCUGGUCUGAGAGGAUGGUAGGCCACACUGGAACUGAGACACGGUCCAGACUCCUACGGGAGGCAGCAGUGGGGAAUAUUGGACAAUGGGCGCAAGCCUGAUCCAGCCAUAGCGAGUGGGUGAAGAAGGCCUUCGGGUUGUAAAGCCCUUUUGUUGGGAAAGAAAAGCAGCAGGUUAAUACCCCGCUGUUCUGACGGUACCCAAAGAAUAAGCACCGGCUAACUUCGUG
This 492-nucleotide ribosomal RNA is filed under the name uncultured bacterium. Its description in RNAcentral is "partial 16S ribosomal RNA". It matches the Rfam family "Bacterial small subunit ribosomal RNA", at positions 29 to 507 of the family's 1533-position model. The record is from RNAcentral.